GCGGCCUAUCAGCUUGUUGGUGAGGUAAUGGCUCACCAAGGCAACGACGGGUAGCCGGCCUGAGAGGGCGACCGGCCACACUGGGACUGAGACACGGCCCAGACUCCUACGGGAGGCAGCAGUGGGGAAUAUUGGGCAAUGGAGGAAACUCUGACCCAGCGACGCCGCGUGCGGGAUGAAGGCCUUCGGGUUGUAAACCGCUUUCAGUAGGGAAGAAGCGAAAGUGACGGUACCUACAAAAGAAGCACCGGCUAACUAUGUGCCAGCAGCCGCGGUAAUACAUAGGGUGCAAGCGUUGUCCGGAAUUAUUGGGCGUAAAGAGCUCGUAGGUCGUUUGUUACGUCGGAUGUGAAAACCUGAGGCUCAACCUCAGGCCUGCAUUCGAUACGGGCAAACUAGAGUUUGGUAGGGGAGAACUGGAAUUCCU
Molecule: ribosomal RNA, 427 nt
Filed under: uncultured Actinomycetes bacterium
Lineage: Bacteria; Bacillati; Actinomycetota; Actinomycetes
Description: bacterial SSU rRNA
Rfam family: Bacterial small subunit ribosomal RNA
Source: RNAcentral